This is a long non-coding RNA of Macaca mulatta (Rhesus monkey), 1319 nucleotides long. RefSeq lists it as uncharacterized. The record is from RefSeq and is a predicted model, not a curated record. NCBI's taxonomy places the organism in Eukaryota, Metazoa, Chordata, Mammalia, Primates, Cercopithecidae.
AGGCCCCGCCCACGUCUUUAAAGUGAUGGAGAAAGUGAAAAGGAGAGCCAAUCAAAUUGCAUCUUCCUUUGACUCGCGACCAAUGGGAUAAAGGGAAGGGCAAAGUCGGCUGGGCAGGUCUUGGAAGUUUGAAAUUGGCGGUUAAGCCGGAUGCUGCGUUUGGGGACGCGACUGUUUAUCUAGGAUCCCUGAGGAAGUCGCCUGGGUGCUGUCCCCUGCUCUCGGCCACCCGCGAGGAGAGAUUACACAUGUAAGAAAAAGGAGUAAGUGUCACUCUUAGAAAAGGAGAUCACAGCCCGGGGAAGCUGAAGCAGGAGGACUGCUUGAGUCCAGGAGUUCGAGACCAGCCUGUGCAACAAACACAUCUCAAGUCAGACCUAAACAGAUUUCUCAAGAACCACGUGUGACUAGUGGCUACUGUGAAGCCCUGGACAGUAAAACAUAAGAAUAUGAAACUUGAUCUUCUUUACCCAUAGCACAAGUAGGUGGAAAAGGAGGACUUUAGGAUGAAACUGACCACAACUAAUGGGAAAAAAAGAACUGGGUCCUCACUGACAUCAUUGGAGUCACUGGAUCAAGCUGCACUUGAAAUUGGCAUGACCUCAGAAACUCAGUUAUGUGAGCCAGUAAGCUCAAUUUACUGUUUAAAUGUAUCCUAUCACUGUUUAAAUGUUGUCCUAUCACUUCCGACAAAAGAAUCUGAACUGACACAGAGAGUGAUCAAUAAUAUAAAGCAAUUUAUUAUAUGCCAAAACUGAAGAAUGGACAGUAAGCAUCAAGUGUGCAGAGAAAGGAUAAAUCAACUUGAGACUAGCCUGGGCAACAUAGCGAGACCCUGUUUUAAAAAAAAAAAAUUGUAGCAGGGUUUCUCAACCUCAGCACUUUUGACAUUUUGGGCUGCAUAAUUCUGGUGGGGCUGUCCUGCACAUUGUGGGAUGCUUAGCAACAUCCCUGGCCUCUACCCACUACAUGCCAGCAACACCCUCUACCUCUGGUUCUGACAACCAAAGGGGUCUUCAAAUAUUUCCAGAUGUCCCCAGUUGAAAGCCACUGUUAGAGGUGGUAUUUGUAAUAAAUCUGCAAGACUUGGUGGGAUGUACUGAUGUGGGAAAGGAAUUUUGAGUAGAGAUAAUUAUAUGAAUAAAGGUACCAGGGAAAGAGAACAAAAGGCUCAUGAGGAAAUCAAUCAUCAUCACUACUAAGUCUCAGCUAUGGUUGCCAACAACUGUUAGAGCAUUAAAUCUUAUCUAGAAAAUCAUUUUUAAAAAUAUUUUCUUAGAGAUGGGGUCUCACUUUGUUGUCCAGGCUUGUCUCAAACU